GUCAUGGCUCAGUGGGACAGCAUCUGCCUUGCAAGUGGAAUGUCCCAGGUUCAAACCCCUGCCGGAACUCA
This is a non-coding RNA of Podarcis lilfordi (Lilford's wall lizard), 71 nucleotides long. Lineage: Eukaryota; Metazoa; Chordata; Lepidosauria; Squamata; Lacertidae. The record is from the annotation of a GenBank genome assembly.